This 356-nucleotide transfer-messenger RNA is filed under the name human gut metagenome. It matches the Rfam family "transfer-messenger RNA". From Rfam's summary of the family: Bacterial tmRNA, also known as 10Sa RNA or SsrA, is named for its dual tRNA and mRNA-like properties. Its role is to liberate the mRNA from a stalled ribosome. To accomplish this part of the tmRNA is used as a reading frame that ends in a translation stop signal. The record is from RNAcentral.
GGGGGUGUAUCGGUUUCGACUGUUUGCGAGUUGGAAAGCAUAAGCAUAUCGCAGACCGUGUCUGCGUUAUAAAAACGGAAAAUUAAAAUUAAAUGCUGAUAAUAACAAUUACGCAUUUGCUGCUUAAUUAAAGCAGCUGUUCCGCCUUUUUUUACCGCAGGAAAGGGACGGGGCAUGAUUUAUGCGGUGAACGCUCGUUCUGUUUUAGCGGCGGCAGAGCGAAUGUAUUAAGUCGCCUGCGCGCAAAGUUGCCCGUCGACGGACUGCUUUGCGAAGAGGAUAAUCGUCGACUAAAUAUGUAGAAGGCUUUUGGGCUUGCAGGCAACACGGCGGUUCAACUCCGCCCAUCUCCACCA